GCAGAGGGUUGGGUGGCCGCUCCGGCCUUCGGGUCGGAGAGGAAAGUCCGGGCUCCACAGGGCACGAUGCCGGAUAACGUCCGGGCGGGGCGACCCGACGGAAAGUGGCACAGAAAAGACACAGCCGCCCUCGAGGCGGCAACGGUGAAAUGGUGCGGUAAGAGCGCACCGGCGGUCGGGAGACCGGCCGGCCUGCUAAACCCCAUCGGGAGCAAGGCUCGAUAGGGAGGGGUUGAGGCGGCCCGCGGACCCUCCGGGUAGAGCCGCAUGAGGUUUCGAGCAAUCGGGAUCCCAGAGAGAUGGCCACACAAAUACAGAACCCGGCUUACAGACCCUCUGCCCCA
Molecule: RNase P RNA, 344 nt
Filed under: Chthonomonadales bacterium
Lineage: Bacteria; Bacillati; Armatimonadota; Chthonomonadia; Chthonomonadales
Description: RNase P RNA component class A
Rfam family: Bacterial RNase P class A
About the family: Ribonuclease P (RNase P) is a ubiquitous endoribonuclease, found in archaea, bacteria and eukarya as well as chloroplasts and mitochondria. Its best characterised activity is the generation of mature 5'-ends of tRNAs by cleaving the 5'-leader elements of precursor-tRNAs.
Source: RNAcentral